This is a long non-coding RNA of Glycine soja, 629 nucleotides long. RefSeq lists it as uncharacterized. The transcript has 2 exons. Lineage: Eukaryota; Viridiplantae; Streptophyta; Magnoliopsida; Fabales; Fabaceae. The record is from RefSeq and is a predicted model, not a curated record.
GUGGACCUUGAACAAUGUUCCCAUCUAUUCCCGUUAGAGAUGUAAACACAAGACCCAAAGCUUAAGCUUUUGGAAUAUAGUUAGUUAGGUUUUUAUUAUUAUGCUUAUUUUGACUGCUGGAAUAUUAUGUUCAAAAUUACAUUUCUUUUAUUAUUUUGGUGUCUUGAUCUUAUUGAUGUAUUUUACAGACAUUGAUAUACUUUUAUGACCCUAUAGAGCUGGAACAAGAUCAACUAAUUGAAGGUUCAGUGACAUUGUCACAAAGCAAAGAAAAUGCUCGAUUUAUGAAUAUUCACCUUGAAUAUACUUCAGGUGGUCGAUCGUAUGUGAAAGAGUCUGUUAUGAGAUGAUGAUCUUUUCACUUGCACAACAUCCUCGCACUGCAGCUUAUAUCUUUUCUGACUUCGUUUCUCCUAUAGAACUGAGGUAGCAGUUUGGUUCUUGAGAAUCACUAAUCUCUGCUUGCUAGAUUAGAAUGGAGCAACUGACGAACUUGUUAGCAUAGAGUUAGGUAAAUGACAUGAAAUUUUGUUGUAAUUUAUUUGAUACCAAAUACAUCAUUGAGGCGGAUUAUUUAUGUCAUAAUUUGUCCUUUCUAAAGCCUUUAUUGUGGGGCCGACUCGUUUCAA